RNAcentral lists this long non-coding RNA (661 nucleotides) under Chinchilla lanigera (long-tailed chinchilla). RNAcentral describes it as "lncRNA (ENSCLAG00000027801.1)". The record is from RNAcentral. Lineage: Eukaryota; Metazoa; Chordata; Mammalia; Rodentia; Chinchillidae.
GGAGAAACUGGCUCUGCAGAGUGAGCUUGUGCUAUCGGGGAAAGAAAUUCUCAACCCGCUGGAUGUCUGAAAUGCAGAAUUCAUGUUCUCUAAAUUCAAGGAAUCCAGCCAGGCAUGGUGGUGCACGCCUGUAAUCCCAGCACUUGGGAGGCUGCGGCAGGAGGAUUGCUGCAAGUUCAAGGACAACCUGGGCUACAUUGUGAGAUGCUGUUUCCAAAAGCCAAUAAGAGAGGGUUCCACCUGACCUCAGCGUUCUGCAUCCUGACUCUUGUCUUCAUCUCUGCAUCCUCCAGCCUGCUCCCUCUGGAAUUUCAAGAGCUGCGCUGCACAAGGCAUUGCCCGAGAUUGAGGUUUUUAUAAUGGAAUGAAAACGUGAGUUGGCAAAUAAUCUACACGGUGAAGACUAGAAAUAACCUUUAAGUUCAUUUGGUCCAGCUAUUUACACUUCAUGCUGCCCCUUCAUCACUGUUGCCGGCAGCCUUGCAACUUCGGUCAACAUUCCCCGUGUGUGCACUUAGAAGCCGUGUGUCCGGUGGGACCCGAGAGCCUGGUGCCAUUUCCUGAGAAAGGUGUCUGUACGAAAGAUAAAUUUUGGUGUGGUUAAUACAUUCAGUUUAACUGUAAUUUAGUUCAAUUAAAAAAGAAGAAUGGGACACUUGGC